AACUCUGGUUUCUCUUUAGAUCAUGUAAAUCUUUCACCUUUUACUAGAGAUUUCCAUGGAGAGGAACAUUUGUAGAAAGGCCCUGAAGACAUGGCUCUGCCACCAUGCCUGAGGG
Molecule: small nuclear RNA, 115 nt
Organism: Python bivittatus (Burmese python)
Lineage: Eukaryota; Metazoa; Chordata; Lepidosauria; Squamata; Pythonidae
Product: U5 spliceosomal RNA
Source: RefSeq, a predicted model, not a curated record